This 459-nucleotide ribosomal RNA is filed under the name uncultured Streptococcus sp. Its description in RNAcentral is "bacterial SSU rRNA". It matches the Rfam family "Bacterial small subunit ribosomal RNA", at positions 920 to 1382 of the family's 1533-position model. The record is from RNAcentral. Lineage: Bacteria; Bacillati; Bacillota; Bacilli; Lactobacillales; Streptococcaceae.
CCCGCACAAGCGGUGGAGCAUGUGGUUUAAUCGAAGCAACGCGAAGAACCUUACCAGGUCUUGACAUCCCGAUGCUAUUUCUAGAGAUAGAAAGUUACUUCGGUACAUCGGUGACAGGUGGUGCAUGGUUGUCGUCAGCUCGUGUCGUGAGAUGUUGGGUUAAGUCCCGCAACGAGCGCAACCCCUAUUGUUAGUUGCCAUCAUUCAGUUGGGCACUCUAGCGAGACUGCCGGUAAUAAACCGGAGGAAGUGGGGAUGACGUCAAAUCAUCAUGCCCCUUAUGACCUGGGCUACACACGUGCUACAAUGGUUGGUACAACGAGUUGCGAGUCGGUGACGGCGAGCUAAUCUCUUAAAGCCAAUCUCAGUUCGGAUUGUAGGCUGCAACUCGCCUACAUGAAGUCGGAAUCGCUAGUAAUCGCGGAUCAGCACGCCGCGGUGAAUACGUUCCCGGGCCUU